This 359-nucleotide unclassified non-coding RNA is filed under the name uncultured bacterium. Its description in RNAcentral is "contains 16S-23S intergenic spacer region". The record is from RNAcentral.
UCCUCCUUACGAAGGCAGUCGAAUGUGAAAAUUACAACACAUCCCGAGUGUUGCGCUCGUUUAGGGACUUAACCCGACAUCUCACGACACGAGCUGACGACAACCAUGCAGCGCCUGUUACUACUUUCCCUUUCGGGCACCUCCCUGUUUCCAGGGCAUUAGUAGAAUGUCAAACCUUGGUAAGGUUUUUCGCUUACCAUCGAAUUAAACCACAUGCUCCACCGCUUGUGUGGAUCCCCGUCAAUUUCUUUGAGUUUCAAACUUGCGUUCGUACUCCCCAGGUGGGAUACUUAUCACUUUCGCUUAGCCACUGAGAUCGCUCCCAACAGCUAGUAUCCAUCGUUUACGGCGUGGACUAC